CCCGGUUUGUCACCGGCAGUCUCCCAUGAGUCCCCAACUGAAUGCUGGCAACAUGGAACAGGGGUUGCGCUCGUCGCGGGACUUAACCCAACACCUCACGGCACGAGCUGACGACAACCAUGCACCACCUGUGUACGGCCCCGAAGGACACCAUAUCUCUAUGGCUUUUCCGUACAUUUCAAGCCUUGGUAAGGUUCUUCGCGUUGCUUCGAAUUAAGCCACAUGCUCCGCCGCUUGUGCGGGCCCCCGUCAAUUCCUUUGAGUUUUAAUCUUGCGACCGUACUCCCCAGGCGGAAUGCUUAAUGCGUUAGCUGCGUCACCGACAUGCAUGCAUGCCGACAACUAGCAUUCAUCGUUUACGGCGUGGACUAC
This 372-nucleotide unclassified non-coding RNA is filed under the name uncultured bacterium. RNAcentral's name for it is "contains 16S-23S intergenic spacer region". The record is from RNAcentral.